This 446-nucleotide ribosomal RNA is filed under the name uncultured bacterium. RNAcentral's name for it is "partial 16S ribosomal RNA". It matches the Rfam family "Bacterial small subunit ribosomal RNA", at positions 29 to 523 of the family's 1533-position model. The record is from RNAcentral.
AACGAACGCUGGCGGCAGGCUUAACACAUGCAAGUCGAGCGCCCCGCAAGGGGAGCGGCAGACGGGUGAGUAACGCGUGGGAAUCUACCCAUCCCUACGCAAUAGCUCCGGGAAACUGGAAUUAAUACCGUAUACGCCCUACGGGGGAAAGAUUUAUCGGGGAUGGAUGAGCCCUCGUUGGAUUAGUUAGGUGGUGGGGUCAAGGCCUACCAAGGCGACGAUCCAUAGCUGGUCUGAGAGGAUGAUCAGCCACAUUGGGACUGAGACACGGCCCAAACUCCUACGGGAGGCAGCAGUGGGGAAUAUUGGACAAUGGGGGCAACCCUGAUCCAGCCAUGCCGCGUGAGUGAUGAAGGCCUUAGGGUUGUAAAGCUCUUCACCGAUGAAGAUAAUGACGGUAGUCGGAGAAGAAGCCCCGGCUAACUUCGUGCCAGCAGCCGCCGUAA